CCUAGCUCCCGUCCCAGCCGCCACCAACUGCCCCCUCGUCGCCUCCCCCUCCCCUUCCCCCUCUCACCACCCACUGAACAAGCAGCUUAUUCACCGCGGCUUGUUUGUCGAUCCUCAGUGUUGAAUCAGGCUCGCUCGCAAGAUGAAGCGGCUGUAUGUGAAUCUGGUGACGCGGAAUUGGGAGAGUGGGAUUUAUGCACUGCGCCGCCUCAAUCCCGAUGUGCACCUCUUCUACCAGUCAAGAAAUGACGCAAAAGAAGUAGCAGAGAUCAACACGAUGGAUUCUGCAGCAGAUGAUAGCAUCAAGAUGAAAUCAGCAGCAGAUGCGAACAACAAGACCAAGAGAUCCAGUCCAAGGAUGCAUAGCCUGCGGCAGCUGCCUAAACCAAUCGCCAAAUUCGAUCCGUCACCGUCCGGCCUGUGGAUCAAUGACGGCCUGGAGUGGUUCGAGCUCCUGGGCCCCCGCCGCAGCGAAUGAUGCAACGUGUGCUUGGGGAUCGGAAGGCUCAGGCCAGCAUUGCCACACACCAUCCAUAAAAAAAGUUAAACCAGGAAAAACUGGUUGGAAGCUUCUAGAAGCGUCACAAAACUUCAUAGUGUAGCUUCUGUAAAAGAAAAAACGCAACCUACAUGGACCGGCCCAUCUCCUAAGUAGUGUGUGCCAUUUGCCAGUUAUGGGCCGGCCCAACCAGUUCACUGCCCUAUGGAUGGUGUGUGGCAAUGCUGGCCUGAGCCUUCCGAUCCCCAAGCACACGUUGCAUCAUUCACUAGGUGCCUGAAUAAUCUAUUAGUACUACUUUUGUUAUGCAUUCCGUUUUAUUAUGCAUGCUUCUAGUCUAUUUCCUGUUUGUAAGAUAUUAUUUGGACAAUGCCAUUAGCCUGCUUGUUUAUGCCAAGUGGGGGGAUUUUCUGAAUCUA
Molecule: long non-coding RNA, 918 nt
Organism: Triticum dicoccoides
Lineage: Eukaryota; Viridiplantae; Streptophyta; Magnoliopsida; Poales; Poaceae
Exons: 2
Source: RefSeq, a predicted model, not a curated record